Molecule: transfer RNA, 74 nt
Filed under: Candidatus Wallbacteria bacterium HGW-Wallbacteria-1
Lineage: Bacteria; Candidatus Walliibacteriota
Description: tRNA-Arg
Rfam family: tRNA
About the family: Transfer RNA (tRNA) molecules are approximately 80 nucleotides in length. Their secondary structure includes four short double-helical elements and three loops (D, anti-codon, and T loops).
Source: RNAcentral
GCGCCCGUAGCUCAAUUGGAUAGAGUGUCUGGCUACGGACCAGAAGGUUAGAGGUUCGAUUCCUCUCGGGCGCG